Non-coding RNA from Pelobates cultripes (western spadefoot toad), 272 nucleotides. The record is from the annotation of a GenBank genome assembly. NCBI's taxonomy places the organism in Eukaryota, Metazoa, Chordata, Amphibia, Anura, Pelobatidae.
GUGUGUAUGGGGGCAGUGUGUGUAUUGGGACAGUGUGUGUAUGGGGAUAGUGUUUGUGGGGCAGUGUGUGUAUGGGGGUCAGUGUGUGUAUGGGGACAGUGUGUGUAUGGGGGACAGUGUGUGUAUGGGGGACAGUGUUUGUGGGGAAGUGUGUGUAUGGGGACAAUGUUUGUGGGGAAGUGUGUGCAGGGCCGGUGCAAGGAUUUUUGCCGCCCUAGGCAAAAGUAAAGUUUGCCGCCCCCCUCCUCCCCCCCGUGACAUCGCAAUGCCCC